Molecule: ribosomal RNA, 917 nt
Filed under: uncultured bacterium
Lineage: Bacteria
Description: bacterial SSU rRNA
Rfam family: Bacterial small subunit ribosomal RNA
Source: RNAcentral
AGAGUUUGAUCCUGGCUCAGGAUGAACGCUAGCUACAGGCUUAACACAUGCAAGUCGAGGGGAAACGAUAGAGAAAGCUUGCUUUUUCUAGGCGUCGACCGGCGCACGGGUGAGUAACGCGUAUCCAACCUGCCUAUCACUUGGGGAUAACUUUGCGAAAGUAAGACUAAUACCCAAUGACGUCUCUAGAAGACAUCUGAAGGAGAUUAAAGAUUUAUCGGUGAUGGAUGGGGAUGCGUCUGAUUAGCUUGUUGGCGGGGUAACGGCCCACCAAGGCGACGAUCAGUAGGGGUUCUGAGAGGAAGGUCCCCCACAUUGGAACUGAGACACGGUCCAAACUCCUACGGGAGGCAGCAGUGAGGAAUAUUGGUCAAUGGACGAGAGUCUGAACCAGCCAAGUAGCGUGCAGGAUGACGGCCCUAUGGGUUGUAAACUGCUUUUAUAAGGGAAUAAAGUGAGUCUCGUGAGACUUUUUGCAUGUACCUUAUGAAUAAGGACCGGCUAAUUCCGUGCCAGCAGCCGCGGUAAUACGGAAGGUCCGGGCGUUAUCCGGAUUUAUUGGGUUUAAAGGGAGCGUAGGCCGGAGAUUAAGCGUGUUGUGAAAUGUAGACGCUCAACGUCUGCACUGCAGCGCGAACUGGUUUCCUUGAGUACGCACAAAGUGGGCGGAAUUCGUGGUGUAGCGGUGAAAUGCUUAGAUAUCACGAAGAACUCCGAUUGCGAAGGCAGCUCACUGGAGCGCAACUGACGCUGAAGCUCGAAAGUGCGGGUAUCGAACAGGAUUAGAUACCCUGGUAGUCCGCACGGUAAACGAUGGAUGCCCGCUGUUGGUCUGAAUAGGUCAGCGGCCAAGCGAAAGCAUUAAGCAUCCCACCUGGGGAGUACGCCGGCAACGGUGAAACUCAAAGGAAUUGACG